GACUCGUUCAUACUACAGUGGAUACACCAGAUCCCAUCAGAACUCUGAAGUUAAGCACUGUAAGGCUUGGCUAGUACUGAGGUGGGAGACCGCUCGGGAACACCAGGUGAUGAGUCAG
Molecule: ribosomal RNA, 118 nt
Filed under: Plasmodium falciparum 3D7
Lineage: Eukaryota; Apicomplexa; Aconoidasida; Haemosporida; Plasmodiidae
Source: RNAcentral